This 254-nucleotide ribosomal RNA is filed under the name uncultured bacterium. RNAcentral's name for it is "partial 16S ribosomal RNA". It matches the Rfam family "Bacterial small subunit ribosomal RNA", at positions 524 to 776 of the family's 1533-position model. The record is from RNAcentral.
UACGUAGGGGGCGAGCGUUGUCCGGAUUCAUUGGGCGUAAAGCGCUUUUAGGCGGUUCGGUAAGUCGGGUGUGAAACCUCCAGGCUCAACCUGGAGACGCCACUCGAUACUGCUGUGACUAGAGUUCGGUAGGGGAUCACGGAAUUCCUGGUGUAGCGGUGAAAUGCGCAGAUAUCAGGAGGAACACCGGUGGCGAAGGCGGUGAUCUGGGCCGACACUGACGCUGUAGAGCGAAAGCGUGGGGAGCGAACAGG